UACGGAGGGUGCGAGCGUUGUCCGGAAUCAUUGGGCGUAAAGGGCGCGUAGGUGGCCCGGUCAGUCAGUGGUGAAAGCGCGGGGCUCAACUCCGCGUCGGCCAUUGAUACUGCUGGGCUGGAGCACUGUAGAGGCAGGCGGAAUUCCGGGUGUAGCGGUGGAAUGCGUAGAGAUCCGGAAGAACACCGGUGGCGAAGGCGGAUCUCUGGGCCAUUACUGACGCUGAGGAGCGAAAGCGUGGGGAGCGAACAGG
RNAcentral lists this ribosomal RNA (253 nucleotides) under uncultured bacterium. Its description in RNAcentral is "partial 16S ribosomal RNA". It matches the Rfam family "Bacterial small subunit ribosomal RNA", at positions 524 to 776 of the family's 1533-position model. The record is from RNAcentral.